This 253-nucleotide ribosomal RNA is filed under the name uncultured bacterium. RNAcentral describes it as "partial 16S ribosomal RNA". It matches the Rfam family "Bacterial small subunit ribosomal RNA", at positions 524 to 776 of the family's 1533-position model. The record is from RNAcentral.
UACGUAGGGUGCAAGCGUUAAUCGGAAUUACUGGGCGUAAAGCGUGCGCAGGCGGCUUUGCAAGACAGAUGUGAAAUCCCCGGGCUUAACCUGGGAACUGCAUUUGUGACUGCAUGGCUAGAGUGCGGCAGAGGGGGAUGGAAUUCCGCGUGUAGCAGUGAAAUGCGUAGAUAUGCGGAGGAACGCCGAUGGCGAAGGCAAUCCCCUGGGCCUGCACUGACGCUCAUGCACGAAAGCGUGGGGAGCAAACAGG